This 1371-nucleotide ribosomal RNA is filed under the name uncultured bacterium. RNAcentral describes it as "bacterial SSU rRNA". It matches the Rfam family "Bacterial small subunit ribosomal RNA", at positions 28 to 1381 of the family's 1533-position model. The record is from RNAcentral.
GAUGAACGCUGGCGGCGUGCCUAAUACAUGCAAGUCGAGCGAACGGACGAGAAGCUUGCUUUUCUGAUGUUAGCGGCGGACGGGUGAGUAACACGUGGAUAACCUACCUAUAAGACUGGGAUAACUUCGGGAAACCGGAGCUAAUACCGGAUAAUAUUUUGAACCGCAUGGUUCAAAAGUGAAAGACGGUCUUGCUGUCACUUAUAGAUGGAUCCGCGCUGCAUUAGCUAGUUGGUAAGGUAACGGCUUACCAAGGCAACGAUGCAUAGCCGACCUGAGAGGGUGAUCGGCCACACUGGAACUGAGACACGGUCCAGACUCCUACGGGAGGCAGCAGUAGGGAAUCUUCCGCAAUGGGCGAAAGCCUGACGGAGCAACGCCGCGUGAGUGAUGAAGGUCUUCGGAUCGUAAAACUCUGUUAUUAGGGAAGAACAUAUGUGUAAGUAACUGUGCACAUCUUGACGGUACCUAAUCAGAAAGCCACGGCUAACUACGUGCCAGCAGCCGCGGUAAUACGUAGGUGGCAAGCGUUAUCCGGAAUUAUUGGGCGUAAAGCGCGCGUAGGCGGUUUUUUAGUCUGAUGUGAAAGCCCACGGCUCAACCGUGGAGGGUCAUUGGAAACUGGAAAACUUGAGUGCAGAAGAGGAAAGUGGAAUUCCAUGUGUAGCGGUGAAAUGCGCAGAGAUGUGGAGGAACACCAGUGGCGAAGGCGACUUUCUGGUCUGUAACUGACGCUGAUGUGCGAAAGCGUGGGGAUCAAACAGGAUUAGAUACCCUGGUAGUCCACGCCGUAAACGAUGAGUGCUAAGUGUUAGGGGGUUUCCGCCCCUUAGUGCUGCAGCUAACGCAUUAAGCACUCCGCCUGGGGAGUACGACCGCAAGGUUGAAACUCAAAGGAAUUGACGGGGGCCCGCACAAGCGGUGGAGCAUGUGGUUUAAUUCGAAGCAACGCGAAGAACCUUACCAAAUCUUGACAUCCUUUGACAACUCUAGAGAUAGAGCCUUCCCCUUCGGGGGACAAAGUGACAGGUGGUGCAUGGUUGUCGUCAGCUCGUGUCGUGAGAUGUUGGGUUAAGUCCCGCAACGAGCGCAACCCUUAAGCUUAGUUGCCAUCAUUAAGUUGGGCACUCUAAGUUGACUGCCGGUGACAAGCCGGAGGAAGGUGGGGAUGACGUCAAAUCAUCAUGCCCCUUAUGAUUUGGGCUACACACGUGCUACAAUGGACAAUACAAAGGGCAGCGAAACCGCGAGGUCAAGCAAAUCCCAUAAAGUUGUUCUCAGUUCGGAUUGUAGUCUGCAACUCGACUACAUGAAGCUGGAAUCGCUAGUAAUCGUAGAUCAGCAUGCUACGGUGAAUACGUUCCCGGGUCU